RNAcentral lists this ribosomal RNA (301 nucleotides) under uncultured bacterium. RNAcentral describes it as "partial 16S ribosomal RNA". It matches the Rfam family "Bacterial small subunit ribosomal RNA", at positions 509 to 808 of the family's 1533-position model. The record is from RNAcentral.
CAGUAGCCGCGGUAAUACGUAUGUCACAAGCGUUAUCCGGAUUUAUUGGGCGUAAAGCGCGUCUAGGUGGUUAUGUGAGUCUGACGUGAAAAUGCAGGGCUCAACUCUGUAUUGCGUUGGAAACUGUGUAACUAGAGUACUGGAGAGGUAAGCGGAACUACAAGUGUAGAGGUGAAAUUCGUAGAUAUUUGUAGGAAUGCCGAUGGGGAAGCCAGCUUACUGGACAGAUACUGACGCUAAAGCGCGAAAGCUAGGGGAGCAAAUGGGAUUAGAUACCCCCGUAGUCCCUGUCUCUUAUACA